Molecule: ribosomal RNA, 254 nt
Filed under: uncultured bacterium
Lineage: Bacteria
Description: partial 16S ribosomal RNA
Rfam family: Bacterial small subunit ribosomal RNA
Source: RNAcentral
GACGAACCGUGCGAACGUUAUUCGGAAUCACCGGGCUUAAAGCGCGUGUAGGCGGAUGGGGACGUCGGUCGCUGAAAUCCCCCGGCUCAACCGGGGAACGGGCGCCGAAACGCCCCGUCUCGAGGGACGUAGGGGGACCUGGAACUUCCGGUGGAGCGGUGAAAUGCGUUGAGAUCGGAAGGAACGCCCGUGGCGAAAGCGAGGUCCUGGACGUCUACUGACGCUGAGACGCGAAAGCUAGGGGAGCGAACGGG